GCGCAGCAGGCGAGAAACUUUACAAUGUGCGAAAGCACGAUAAGGGAACUCUGAGUGCCUCCUAAGGAGGCUGUUCAGGUGUCUAAAAGCACCUGAAGGAAGGGCCGGGUAAGACCGGUGCCAGCCGCCGCGGUAACACCGGCAGCCCAAGUGGUAGCCACGUUUAUUGGGUCUAAAGCGUCCGUAGCCGGCUGGGUAAGUUCCUUGGGAAAUUUGGCUGCUUAACAGUCAAGCUUUCAGGGAAUACUGCCCGGCUUGGGACCGGGAGAGGUCAGAGGUACUCCAGGGGUAGGGGUGAAAUCCAUUAAUCCUUGGGGGACCACCGGUAGCGAAGGCGUCUGACCAGACCGGGUCCGACGGUGAGGGACGAAGGCUAGGGGCGCGAACCGGAUUAGAUACCCCCGUAGU
Molecule: ribosomal RNA, 408 nt
Filed under: uncultured microorganism
Description: bacterial SSU rRNA
Rfam family: Archaeal small subunit ribosomal RNA
Source: RNAcentral